Unclassified non-coding RNA from Homo sapiens (human), 101 nucleotides. It matches the Rfam family "Y RNA". Rfam says of the family: Y RNAs are components of the Ro ribonucleoprotein particle (Ro RNP), in association with Ro60 and La proteins. The Y RNAs and Ro60 and La proteins are well conserved, but the function of the Ro RNP is not known. In humans the RNA component can be one of four small RNAs -- hY1, hY3, hY4 and hY5. NCBI's taxonomy places the organism in Eukaryota, Metazoa, Chordata, Mammalia, Primates, Hominidae. The record is from Ensembl.
UGCUGGUCUGAGUGCAUUGGUGUUUACAACUAAUUGAUCACAACCGGUUACAGAUUUCUUUGUACCUUCUCCACUCCCACUGCUUCACUGACCAGCCUUAA